CGUCUAUAUACGUAUAGCAUAUCAAUAAGCGGAGGAAAAGAAACUAACAAGGAUUCCCUUAGUAACGGCGAGUGAAGCGGGAAGAGCUCAAAUUUGAAAUCUUCAAGGUUUUACCUUGACGAAUUGUAGUUUAAAGAAGUGUUUUCUGUUGGAGUUUUGGUAAAAGUUCUUUGGAAUAGGACAUCAUAGAGGGUGAGAAUCCCGUAUUUGACCAUUAUUUCCAGCUUUGUGAUACACUUUCAAAGAGUCGGAUUGUUUGGGAAUGCAGUCCAAAAUGGGUGGUAAAUUUCAUCUAAAGCUAAAUAUUGGCGAGAGACCGAUAGCGAACAAGUACCGUGAGGGAAAGAUGAAAAGAACUUUGAAAAGAGAGUUAAACAGUACGUGAAAUUGUCAAAAGGGAAGCGUUUGACACCAGUGUUGUUUUCUCGAAAAUCAAUUAAAAAUGACCGGAUUUUGUGUUGUAUUGACUUUAUCAGCUUUCUGCACUUUUUUCUUGUCUUUUUUAAUGCACUUUUCGUUUAACAAGUCAACAUCAAUUUCUUUUGUUGUAAAAGAGUCAUUGGAAGGUGGCUUUCAUUUCAGGAGAAAGUGUUUAUAGCCUUUGACUUCUGCAAUCGGAGAGAUUGAGGUCUGCAGCGUAGAUCCUUCGGGGUUAGAUAGCAUUUGUGCUAAGUUAUAGCUUUUCAUAGACAACUUGUUGACUAUGAUUAAGUCAUUGUAGCUUACUCGCUUAUGCUAUUUACCUACGCUUAGGAUGUUGAUAUGCAUGACUGAUAU
Molecule: ribosomal RNA, 777 nt
Filed under: uncultured Neocallimastigales
Lineage: Eukaryota; Fungi; Neocallimastigomycota; Neocallimastigomycetes; Neocallimastigales
Description: partial large subunit ribosomal RNA
Rfam family: Eukaryotic large subunit ribosomal RNA
Source: RNAcentral